Cuculus canorus (common cuckoo) is the source of this 1353-nucleotide long non-coding RNA. RefSeq lists it as uncharacterized. The transcript has 4 exons. The record is from RefSeq and is a predicted model, not a curated record. NCBI's taxonomy places the organism in Eukaryota, Metazoa, Chordata, Aves, Cuculiformes, Cuculidae.
AAGAUACAAUCCUUUGCACAGAAGCUCUCACAUAGGAGUAAAAGUAGUUUGUAAUCACAUUUUUUUUUCUUUUCCAGAUGGACAUAUAUCAUACUGAUUCUGUUGAUACAGUUGCUUCCAUACUAAGGAAGGUAAUGGUUUAGCUAGGUGGAUAAAACACAAGGAGUUUGUAUAUAUUAAGAAGCUCCAACAUGAGAGGGGAAAAUGGUGACUUGCUGAUAUUCUUAAUGUCAGGUUAUGGUGGCUUACUUCAGUGAAAGAAAAUCACUUGUAUCCACCCAUGUCGUUCUUUCACUCUCUUGUAUUUUCCUUUUACAUUCAGAUACCGCUUAGCUGCUCUUUAUCAGGGCAAAGUGUGAAGAAGUUUAGAGACUCAGGCCACGUGGAGACUGUCGUCAUCUUUGCUUAAAGUCCACUAGCUGGGAUCCUUUGAUGGUCCAGAAGUUCUCCUGGAGGGAUUGGCUGUUGAGCCAUAGCAUUUGUUCUGCUCAGUUCACCUAAAGCCUUACAUUCACAAUUCAUAAGUCUAAUUCCUAAACUGCAGCUGCAAGCUGCACUGUAGGCACCCAUUUCUAUCACAAGAGAAGAGGACUUAACUGCAGAAGAACUUAACUGGAGGAAAUCAACUGUGGCACUGGUUACUGAUACCUGGAAGCUGGUUUGCAGUUUUUCGGCCUGGCUGCUUGAGCACUUGUUGUGCAUGGAAUUGGAAAUCAGGGAUGUGAGAUGCUGGAAGAAUGAGACUACCCUGUGCUUCUGUCCUGCGGGCACAAAAUGCAAAAUAACUCUUUGAACAUUUAGAAAGAUUGUGCGCAUAGAACCUGAAGUUCAGAGUGAAACAAGCACACCACAGUGAACUAAGGAAGAAAUAGCAGGGUAUCUCUUAGAUCUUGGAUAUACAAGAGAGGACCAAGAACAUACCAACUGGUCUUGCAAGGUGUGUGUGACAACAUACUGCAUAUCAAAAUGCUUUAUGGUUUGUGUGGUGUUUCUUCAUUUCCUAGUGAAACUCAGCAACUUCUAGAGCAGAACACUCUUUGAUAAAAAUAUUUCAUUAAGAUUCAUGACUGAAUGCAGAGAGCACCUUGCUGGACUCCUGGUGUAAGGAUUGCAGGAUUGUAGUCGGCUAAGUCACUGUCCUUUCCUGACUAUGAGAAGACAUCACUUGUGGCUUUCUUCUGCUUGCUAUCCAGAAGAUUAGCAGAUCUAGCAUUAUGUGACUCUUCAGUUUCUGUGUUCUACAUACAAUUGUAAAUAACUAUUCUAUAUGCAAGGCAAUAGCAAAUCAUCCAGCACUGACCCCACCAGUCCGUGCUUGCUGUAGUGGUUUAGUUUGUGUGAAUCUACUUUACA